AUUGAACGCUGGCGGCAGGCCUAACACAUGCAAGUCGAACGGUAACAGAAAGCAGCUUGCUGCUUUGCUGACGAGUGGCGGACGGGUGAGUAAUGUCUGGGAAACUGCCUGAUGGAGGGGGAUAACUACUGGAAACGGUAGCUAAUACCGCAUAACGUCGCAAGACCAAAGAGGGGGACCUUCGGGCCUCUUGCCAUCGGAUGUGCCCAGAUGGGAUUAGCUAGUAGGUGGGGUAAAGGCUCACCUAGGCGACGAUCCCUAGCUGGUCUGAGAGGAUGACCAGCCGCACUGGAACUGGAACCCGGUCCAGGCGCCUACGGGAGGCAACAGUGGGGAAUAUUGCGCAAUGGGCGCAAGCCUGGUGCAGCCAUGCCGCGUGUAUGAAGAAGGCCUUCGGGUUGUAAAGUACUUUCAGCGGGGAGGAAGGGAGUAAAGUUAAUACCUUUGCUCAUUGACGUUACCCGCAGAAGAAGCACCGGCUAACUCCGUG
RNAcentral lists this ribosomal RNA (490 nucleotides) under uncultured bacterium. Its description in RNAcentral is "partial 16S ribosomal RNA". It matches the Rfam family "Bacterial small subunit ribosomal RNA", at positions 30 to 507 of the family's 1533-position model. The record is from RNAcentral.